AGAUUAUAUUGAGGACAACUUCUAAGCAAACCCUUGUAUCUCUCCCAUGCUUCAUACAAUGACUCUCCAACCUCUUCUUGAAAAUUAACAAUCUUCUUUUUGAGCUU
Molecule: small nucleolar RNA, 107 nt
Organism: Lactuca sativa (garden lettuce)
Lineage: Eukaryota; Viridiplantae; Streptophyta; Magnoliopsida; Asterales; Asteraceae
Source: RefSeq, a predicted model, not a curated record